This 478-nucleotide ribosomal RNA is filed under the name uncultured bacterium. Its description in RNAcentral is "partial 16S ribosomal RNA". It matches the Rfam family "Bacterial small subunit ribosomal RNA", at positions 28 to 523 of the family's 1533-position model. The record is from RNAcentral.
GACGAACGCUGGCGGCGUGCUUAACACAUGCAAGUCGAACGGUAAGGCCUUCGGGUACACGAGUGGCGAACGGGUGAGUAACACGUGGGUGAUCUGCCCUGCACUUUGGGAUAAGCCUGGGAAACUGGGUCUAAUACCGAAUACACCCUGCUGGCUGCAUGGCCUGGUGGGGGAAAGCUUUUGCGGUGUGGGAUGGGCCCGCGGCCUAUCAGCUUGUUGGUGGGGUGAUGGCCUACCAAGGCGACGACGGGUAGCCGGCCUGAGAGGGUGACCGGCCACACUGGGACUGAGAUACGGCCCAGACUCCUACGGGAGGCAGCAGUGGGGAAUAUUGCACAAUGGGCGCAAGCCUGAUGCAGCGACGCCGCGUGGGGGAUGACGGCCUUCGGGUUGUAAACCUCUUUCAGUGCCGACGAAGCGCAAGUGACGGUAGGCACAGAAGAAGGACCGGCCAACUACGUGCCAGCCGCCGCCGUAA